GAUGAACGCUGGCGGCGUGCCUAAUACAUGCAAGUCGAGCGAACGGAUGAGAAGCUUGCUUCUCUGAUGUUAGCGGCGGACGGGUGAGUAACACGUGGAUAACCUACCUAUAAGACUGGGAUAACUUCGGGAAACCGGAGCUAAUACCGGAUAAUAUUUUGAACCGCAUGGUUCAAAAGUGAAAGACGGUCUUGCUGUCACUUAUAGAUGGAUCCGCGCUGCAUUAGCUAGUUGGUAAGGUAACGGCUUACCAAGGCAACGAUGCAUAGCCGACCUGCGAGGGUGAUCGGCCACACUGGAACUGAGACACGGUCCAGACUCCUACGGGAGGCAGCAGUAGGGAAUCUUCCGCAAUGGGCGAAAGCCUGACGGAGCAACGCCGCGUGAGUGAUGAAGGUCUUCGGAUCGUAAAACUCUGUUAUUAGGGAAGAACAUAUGUGUAAGUAACUGUGCACAUCUUGACGGUACCUAAUCAGAAAGCCACGGCUAACUACGUG
This 497-nucleotide ribosomal RNA is filed under the name uncultured bacterium. RNAcentral describes it as "partial 16S ribosomal RNA". It matches the Rfam family "Bacterial small subunit ribosomal RNA", at positions 28 to 507 of the family's 1533-position model. The record is from RNAcentral.